CAGCUCUUGACAUGUCAGGUCGGUUUCCAGAGAUGGAUUCCUCCCAGCAAUGGGCCUGAACACAGGUGCUGCAUGGCUGUCGUCAGCUCGUGUCGUGAGAUGUUGGGUUAAGUCCCGCAACGAGCGCAACCCUCGCCCUUAGUUGCCAGCAUUCAGUUGGGCACUCUAAGGGGACUGCCGGUGAUAAGCCGAGAGGAAGGUGGGGAUGACGUCAAGACCUCAUGGCCCUUACGGGCUGGGCUACACACGUGCUACAAUGGUGGUGACAGUGGGCAGCGAGCACGCGGGUGUGAGCUAAUCUCCAAAAGCCAUCUCAGUUCGGAUUGCACUCUGCAACUCGAGUGCAUGAAGUUGGAAUCGCUAGUAAUCGCGGAUCAGCAUGCCGCGGUGAAUACGUUCCC
This 401-nucleotide ribosomal RNA is filed under the name uncultured bacterium. RNAcentral describes it as "bacterial SSU rRNA". It matches the Rfam family "Bacterial small subunit ribosomal RNA", at positions 975 to 1375 of the family's 1533-position model. The record is from RNAcentral.